GCUGACGUAGCUCAAUUGGCAGAGCAGCUGAUUUGUAAUCAGCAGGUUGGGAGUUCGAUUCUCCCCGUCAGCU
Molecule: transfer RNA, 73 nt
Filed under: Gemmatimonadaceae bacterium
Lineage: Bacteria; Pseudomonadati; Gemmatimonadota; Gemmatimonadia; Gemmatimonadales; Gemmatimonadaceae
Also listed under: 4 other names
Description: tRNA-Thr
Rfam family: tRNA
About the family: Transfer RNA (tRNA) molecules are approximately 80 nucleotides in length. Their secondary structure includes four short double-helical elements and three loops (D, anti-codon, and T loops).
Source: RNAcentral